CUUGUGGGGAAUGUUGGCUGGCUCGAGGCAUCCACUUCUUUCCUCGCCGGCGAGCCGGCUCAGGCGUGUGGAGGCAUCGGACCAGGCUUCAUUCCUCGCAAG
Molecule: microRNA precursor, 102 nt
Filed under: Oryza punctata
Lineage: Eukaryota; Viridiplantae; Streptophyta; Magnoliopsida; Poales; Poaceae
Description: pre miRNA mir-166
Rfam family: mir-166 microRNA precursor family
About the family: This family represents the plant microRNA (miRNA) precursor mir-166. Animal miRNAs are transcribed as ~70nt precursors and subsequently processed by the Dicer enzyme to give a ~22nt product.
Source: Rfam by way of RNAcentral